AUCCAGUUGAUGAGUCGCAAACGGGACGAAACGCACGUCCUAGAU
Molecule: non-coding RNA, 45 nt
Filed under: Schistosoma curassoni
Lineage: Eukaryota; Metazoa; Platyhelminthes; Trematoda; Strigeidida; Schistosomatidae
Source: RNAcentral